RNAcentral lists this long non-coding RNA (1041 nucleotides) under Prunus persica (peach). RNAcentral's name for it is "long non-coding RNA (PPER_LNC005834)". The record is from RNAcentral. Lineage: Eukaryota; Viridiplantae; Streptophyta; Magnoliopsida; Rosales; Rosaceae.
UGAUGGUUGGAUGAAAAUCAUAACAAAAUAAAGACAAAUAGAGGAAACCUUCUGUCUCUGCAAAUGAAGGAAGAGGAUAAAGGAGGAAGAGAAGAGAGGGGAGAGGGGAGGGGAGGAAGAACAGUGGCUUCCUUCCGCUCAAAGUGAAAAUGGAUGUAAGAUUAUUUUUUAGGGGAGAGAGGGCUAGAGUUUCUCUGGAGGUAUGCGCUCUUGUUGAUUGUUUGUUGAUAGAUGAUACUUAACCUGCAAAACUUCACUAAUACUAUAAUUAUUACUAGUUCUUUGGCACACACUCCGAUUGAAUUUUUUUUACUUGUGAUAUAUUUUUUUAUUAUUCAACAGGUUUGAAGGUAGUUUUCUUUUAAAUUUUUUUAUUUAUGGACAACUGUAGUACUGCUCCUAAUAUUAAUUUGCUAGUUUCAACUUAUCCAAAGUAGAUAUUAAUCGGUCACUAUAUAAUAUUGUAGUAUUAUUUUUGUAACAUAUAUUAUUCUUAUUCAAUUGUAUGUGAGAAUUAUUUUUAUAAUACGUGAAUUUUGUGUGUCUUACUGUAAAUUUUGUAAAAAAUACGUGUAUUAAACAUUAGAAAUGUGUAUGUACAUGUAUAGUAGGACUAUUCCACAUUUCCUUUUAAAAAACUUGAGACGUGUGUAGAACAAGAAUGUACUAUUAAUAAAUAUGUACGUACGUAUAUAGUAGAGUAUUAAAUGUGAAAGUACAAAAUUCUUUAUGCUAAUAAUAACCCUGUAAAAGUAAAAAAUUAAAAGGGGGCAAUAGAGACUCAGGUAAUGGCCUAAUACUAAUGGAUAACUACUCUUAUCGAUAAACAAAAAUCAGGGAAAAAAAUUAAAAGAAAAAAAGGAUCCCAGUAUAUAUAUAGAAGACUUUAGCCACUUGUCUAUACUAUUUAUUGAAGAAAUAUUUUUAAAUAAAAAAAAAUUAAGUAAACCAGCCCGGCUAUACUAUUUUUUUAAAAACAUUGACAAAAUUGAGUAUAGCCUGACAAUUUACUAUAUUUAAAAAAAGAGAACAGACACACAG